CUACGGGGUGCUCCAGUGAGGAAUAUUGCGCAAUGGGGGGAACCCUGAUGCAGCAACGCCGCGUGGAGGAUGACGCAUUUCGGUGUGUAAACUCCUUUUAUAUGUCAAGAAAAUGACGGUAGCAUAUGAAUAAGCACCGGCUAACUCCGUGCCAGCAGCCGCGGUAAUACGGAGGGUGCAAGCGUUACUCGGAAUCACUGGGCGUAAAGGACGCGUAGGCGGGUUGGAAAGUCAGGUGUGAAAUCCUACAGCUUAACUGUAGAACUGCACUUGAAACUUCUAAUCUAGAGUAUGGGAGGGGGAGAUGGAAUUAGUGGUGUAGGGGUAAAAUCCGUAGAUAUCACUAGGAAUACCUAAAGCGAAGGCGAUCUCCUGGAACAUUACUGACGCUAAGGCGUGAAAGCGUGGGGAGCAGACAGGAUUAGAUACCCCGGAGUC
This 438-nucleotide ribosomal RNA is filed under the name uncultured bacterium. Its description in RNAcentral is "partial 16S ribosomal RNA". It matches the Rfam family "Bacterial small subunit ribosomal RNA", at positions 339 to 795 of the family's 1533-position model. The record is from RNAcentral.